UACGUAGGGUGCAAGCGUUGUCCGGAAUCAUUGGGCGUAAAGCGCGCGUAGGUGGUCAUGUAAGUCCGCUGUGAAAGUCAAAGGCUCAACCUUUGAAAGCCGGUGGAUACUGCAUGACUAGAGUACGGAAGAGGCGAGUGGAAUUCCUGGUGUAGCGGUGGAAUGCGCAGAUAUCAGGAGGAACACCAAUAGCGAAGGCAGCCAUCUGGACGGAUACUGACGCUGAGACGCGAAAGCGUGGGUAGCAAACAGG
RNAcentral lists this ribosomal RNA (253 nucleotides) under uncultured bacterium. RNAcentral's name for it is "partial 16S ribosomal RNA". It matches the Rfam family "Bacterial small subunit ribosomal RNA", at positions 524 to 776 of the family's 1533-position model. The record is from RNAcentral.